Molecule: long non-coding RNA, 2515 nt
Organism: Cyprinus carpio (common carp)
Lineage: Eukaryota; Metazoa; Chordata; Actinopteri; Cypriniformes; Cyprinidae
Source: Ensembl
UUAAAAACGCUGUCCUUUAAAUAAGGGCUUCUCCAAACUCACCGGAUUCUGGAGGAAUGUCAUUGUGCUCCUCGCUCUUCACUUACUUUGCUGAAGGAUCCGCUUAAGGUAUGAAACCGUUUGACUGUGAACCGUUUUUGUGAUCACGAGGUUUAUAAACGAUGUCCUCAAAACAGUCCUUAAAAAGUACUGGGAGAAAACGAGGACAUUACACUUAAAACACAACAUGUGUGACUGAAAUCAGCCAGUUUUCGUUCGAUUUCUCACCGACUGAUACUCAAUAUUUAACUUUGUUUUAUUAAACCCUGGCUUUUAUUAUUAGAAUAGCCUGUCUGUACUAAAACUGCUAAAUGUCAAUUAUCUAUGCAUCCUGUUAAAAGAGCGAGUCGCGUAAUGCGUUCCCAUUAUGUUAUGCAUAAUCCGCAGAUAAAGUUCUGUUCUUCUGUUUGACAUGACUGUAUUUUCUUUCGUCUUUUCUUGUCUUAAGCAGGAUAUUUUCUGGUAGGCUACUCCAUUCCCGCCUCUUGUGUUCGUUUAGCGCAGCGGUUCUCAAGAAGAUCAUCUGCGAAAGAAAGAAAGAAAGACAAACUGCGGAAACUGCGUCGUCUCUCUUUCUUUCAUAAAGCGGCUCCGAACGAUCUCCAAUUCCUCUGAAACUUUCUUCUUCAGAUCGUUGACUUCGCACUGUCUGAGCAAACCUGACACAGAGCGUCAUGACAGACAUUCACUAACAUCAGAACUAGAACACGAUUAAUACAGUCAUCUCAAAUAAAGGAUCACUGUGUAAGGAAGCUUGAGUUAUUAUUUGUUCAAUAACUUCACAAUUAAAUAAAUGCAAUAAUUUGUUGUGUGCUUUCAGACAGUUUCCUUAUAUGAGCUAAAACAUGGACAUCAUUAAUGUGACGUGUGCAGAGAUUGAGACUCCAGUGGGGUUUGUGUAUGUGAUUCUGUCUGUUAUAAUGAAUCAAACUAAUAAUCCUGACUGUGAUCAGAGCUGGUAUCUACAGGAUGAUCGUCUGAUAGCAGAUCCAUCAGAUCCUCAGAAACUGAUUGAUCCUGUGAUUUCUGUCUCGUCUGAUCGUCUCGUCACGUCUCGCUGUGUGAAUCUGAUUCAUGAGAUCAUCUGUCAUUCUGUUGGAUUCAGAUACGAGACUAUAUUCAGAGUGUUUAAUGGCACAGACUCCUUCAGCGGAUCGACUCAAACUCCAGAAUCACAUCAGUGGUGGUGGAUUUCUGCUCUGAUCUUCAUUGUUCUUCUGCUCUUGAUCUGUUUCUUGCUGCGGAAAAAGAUCUUCAGAUGUUUUCAGCGCAGUGAUUCAGAAAACAGAGAUCCUGAAUCUGGUGUCCAGAUGCAGCUCAGAUCAGAUGAAUCUGAUUCACUGAAUCAAUCUGAAUCUGAUUCUCUCAGAGAUCCUGAAUCUGGUGUCCAGAUGCAGCUCAGAUCAGAUGAAUCUGAUUCACUGAAUCAAUAUGAAUCUGAGCAGAUCAACGGCUCCAUGUCCAGAGGAUGAUCUUCAUCUUCAUCAUCAUAAUCUUCUUCUUCUUCAUCAUCAUCAUCAUCUUCUUCAUCUUCAUCAUCAUCAUCUUCUUCAUCAUCUUCAUCAUCUUCAUCUUCUUCUUCUUCUUCUUCAUCAUCAUCAUCAUCAUCAUUGUGGCAGAUUUACUCAGACUCAGGCUCCUCAGGAGAUUUUUUUGCUUCAUUCUGAGCUUCUUAACUCUUAUUUAUUCUCGUUCAUCUGCAUCUGUCUGUUUUAUUAAUGCAGCUGAAUCUUAAAGACCCUCUUAUGUUUCUGAUCAUCUCCUGAACUUUGCCCGUUGAACCCAGAUCUCUGUUUAAAAAAAAACAGUGAAUUCCUGCUUCAGCUUUCACUGAAAGCAUGUACUUUGUGUUAUUAUCAUUGUCACAUGGACAUUAAUUUGAUGAGUCUGAUUCCUCUCAGACACUUCAUGGAGUUUUAUGUGAGCUCAAAAACACUAAAGCAUUAUGUAUAAAUGAAUAUAAAUUCUGAAUUAUUUGUCCUUAUUUCUUCAUAUUCACACUGUUUUACAUGAUUUAUUAAUUAAGAGUCAAAUCAUUGUCAGGAAACAUGCAUCCAUGUCUGUGUGUCUGUUAAUUAUCUCGUUUGUCUGUGUAGUCCUUGUUUACAGUUGUUCUUGGUUCAGGUUUUAUCUUUACUGUAGUUGUUCUGGUAACACUGUUGUGUUGUUCAUAUGUUUGCUUGAACAAAUGUUUUGUGCUCUCUCUCUCUCUCUCUCUCUCUCUAUGUAUAUAUAUAUGUGUGUGUUUUAUGAUAAACACUGGUAAGAUUUUAAUACAGUUUGUUCUAAAAUCAGUCAUUUGUUCUGUCAUUAUUUACGUUAUAAAGGUGUGCAAGUAAUACGACUGUACACUAUCCUUUAAAUGGGCUUUAUGUGUUCAUUCAUCUCUAUUCAAAGCUGCAAAAAAAAAUUUCUUCAUGGACGCUUUCAUUUAAUGAGUGUUUAAUGAGUUAAUAAAAUAUUUCAACUCAAGCCA